This 492-nucleotide ribosomal RNA is filed under the name uncultured bacterium. RNAcentral's name for it is "partial 16S ribosomal RNA". It matches the Rfam family "Bacterial small subunit ribosomal RNA", at positions 29 to 507 of the family's 1533-position model. The record is from RNAcentral.
AGUGAACGCUGGCGGUAGGCCUAACACAUGCAAGUCGAACGGCAGCACAGUAAGAGCUUGCUCUUACGGUUGGCGAGUGGCGGACGGGUGAGGAAUACAUCGGAAUCUACUUUUUCGUGGGUGAUAACGUAGGGAAACUUACGCUACUACCGCAUAUGAUCUACGGGUGAAAGCAGGGGAUCUUCGGACCUUGCGCGAUUGAAUGAGCCGAUUUCGGAUUAGCUAGUUGGGGGGGUAAAGGCCCACCAAGGCGACGAUCCGUAGCGGGUCUGAGAGGAUGAUCGGCCACACUGGAACUGAGACACGGUCCAGACUCCUACGGGAGGCAGCAGUGGGGAAUAUUGGACAAUGGGCGCAAGCCUGAUCCAGCCAUACCGCGUGGGUGAAGAAGGCCUUCGGGUUGUAAAGCCCUUUUGUUGGGAAAGAAAAGCAGCAGGUUAAUACCCCGCUGUUCUGACGGUACCCAAAGAAUAAGCACCGGCUAACUUCGUG